CGGACGGGUGAGUAACGCGUGGGUAACCUGCCUUGUACAGGGGGAUAACAGUUGGAAACGGCUGCUAAUACCGCAUAAGCGCACGGCAUCGCAUGAUGCAGUGUGAAAAACUCCGGUGGUAUAAGAUGGACCCGCGUUGGAUUAGCUAGUUGGUGAGGUAACGGCCCACCAAGGCAACGAUCCAUAGCCGACCUGAGAGGGUGACCGGCCACAUUGGGACUGAGACACGGCCCAA
RNAcentral lists this ribosomal RNA (235 nucleotides) under uncultured bacterium. Its description in RNAcentral is "partial 16S ribosomal RNA". It matches the Rfam family "Bacterial small subunit ribosomal RNA", at positions 99 to 334 of the family's 1533-position model. The record is from RNAcentral.